Molecule: ribosomal RNA, 253 nt
Filed under: uncultured bacterium
Lineage: Bacteria
Description: partial 16S ribosomal RNA
Rfam family: Bacterial small subunit ribosomal RNA
Source: RNAcentral
UACAGAGGGUGCGAGCGUUGUCCGGAAUCACUGGGCGUAAAGGGCGCGUAGGUGGCGCCGCAAGUCCAUGGUGAAAGCUCGAUGCUCAACAUCGAGUCGGUCACGGAGACUGCGGGGCUCGAGCACUGUAGGGGCAGAUGGAAUUCCGGGUGUAGCGGUGGAAUGCGUAGAUAUCUGGAGGAACACCGGUGGCGAAGGCGGCAUCCUGGACCGGCAUUGACGCUGAGGCGCGAAAGCCAGGGGAGCAAACGGG